RNAcentral lists this long non-coding RNA (230 nucleotides) under Malus domestica (apple). RNAcentral describes it as "long non-coding RNA (MDOM_LNC019073)". The record is from RNAcentral. Lineage: Eukaryota; Viridiplantae; Streptophyta; Magnoliopsida; Rosales; Rosaceae.
UUUUAGGUGUUUUCUUUCCUUUGAUUUUAAUGUCUAAUUUUAUGUAUCUUUUCUUUGUGAGUAUGAGGAACUAAAUCCCUCUUAGUUAGGGGGUGAUUCGAAACCAUGUUCAUAUUUGCAAUAUGAUUUGAUUACAUCCAGUUGUGAUUCAUAAGUUGUAAAUUCAAUUUACUUAUCUGAUCGUAUAAGAAAUGAUUUGUGUAUGUUGGUUGAGAGUGCACGCUUAAUUU